RNAcentral lists this ribosomal RNA (119 nucleotides) under Scophthalmus maximus (turbot). The record is from RNAcentral. Lineage: Eukaryota; Metazoa; Chordata; Actinopteri; Pleuronectiformes; Scophthalmidae.
GCUUACGGCCACACCGCCUGGUUCACGCCUGAUCUCGUUUGAUCUCGGAAGCUAAGGUAGGUUGGGCCUGGUUAGUACUUAGAUGGGAGACCGCCUGGGAAUACCAGGUGCUGUAAGCU